Molecule: long non-coding RNA, 281 nt
Organism: Hippopotamus amphibius kiboko
Lineage: Eukaryota; Metazoa; Chordata; Mammalia; Artiodactyla; Hippopotamidae
Exons: 3
Source: RefSeq, a predicted model, not a curated record
GGUCUCUGGCUGAGCACAUCUCUUAAAUGGAGUAGAUAUGAAGUCUUACGAAUUGAGGGUGUUUCCUCUGCCUUGCAGACAGAGUUGCAGAGAGAUCUUGUCGUCAUCCUCAUCAUCGUCAUCAGAAGAAGAAGGGUGUAACCACGUGGUGCAGAGGAGAGGUGUUUCUACCCUGAGCUGGGAUAUCUCACUAGUCACCCAAGUGUGUCUACCUGACCUGGAACAUCUCCCUAAUUUCCCAGGGAAGCUACCAUGACCUAGUAGGUCCCCUUUAUUCCUCA